UACGGAGGGUGCAAGCGUUAUCCGGAUUCACUGGGUUUAAAGGGUGCGUAGGCGGGCAGGUAAGUCAGUGGUGAAAUCUUCGAGCUUAACUCGGAAACUGCCGUUGAUACUAUCUGUCUUGAAUGUUGUGGAGGUGAGCGGAAUAUGUCAUGUAGCGGUGAAAUGCUUAGAUAUGACAUAGAACACCCAUUGCGAAGGCAGCUCACUACGCAACAAUUGACGCUGAGGCACGAAAGCGUGGGGAGCAAACAGG
Molecule: ribosomal RNA, 253 nt
Filed under: uncultured bacterium
Lineage: Bacteria
Description: partial 16S ribosomal RNA
Rfam family: Bacterial small subunit ribosomal RNA
Source: RNAcentral